Oncorhynchus tshawytscha (Chinook salmon) is the source of this 1127-nucleotide long non-coding RNA. The record is from Ensembl. Lineage: Eukaryota; Metazoa; Chordata; Actinopteri; Salmoniformes; Salmonidae.
CAGGGAUGAGGAUCUUAGGGAGGGCAAAGUUACAAGGCUGCUCUUGAUUUAUUAUUGAAUUGUGUUGCGCUUUCUUGCACUGCCAUAGCGUCAUCAGCUGGCUGACUAGCUGGCUGCAACCUGGUGUCUGAGAAUUUCGUAUUAUUCUUUAAGUAAAUCUGGGCGACCUAAUUUAUUUUGUAUGUUAUGUUUCAUAUGGGAGGAAGUGUAUCAGUGGUGACACAAUGUGGACCAACUGGUUCCUGCACCUCGACUCUCACACAGUGAGCCAAACAAGGAAGAAGGUGGGCAGAGCCAAGCACAAGGAAGCCAGAUUCUAUUGGCCUGUUUCAGCAUGUAUUUGCAUAUUUCCCUUAUGGAAUGGCUACUCCCUGAAAAUAACUUGGAUUAUCCUUUUUAAGAACUUAAUUUUUUAGAAAGGUUGGCAAAAAAAAUGAGUGUCUUUUGGGAGAGAGAGGAGGGGACCACUGCCUCUAAAAUGAGUGUCUUUGGGGAGAGAGAGGAGGGGACCACUGCCUCUAAAAUGAGAACGACCUACACGUUGAAGCUGUGGGGAGAGACCAGACUCCCCUGUACCCAGCUGUGUAUCCAUGAAGAGUGAACAGUCUAUGGGGAAACCAAUCAACUUCAGUGUUGGACACUUCUCUACUAGCAAGGAGACCAACAGGAGAGAUCAGAAGCAGAUAUUUCCAGUGGUCAGUCUUCCCAAAGUCAUACAACAGACCUGGACUCGAUAUUCCUCAUGGGGCGGCAGGCAGCCUAGUGGUUAGAGCGUUGGACUAGUAACUGAAAGGUUGCAAGAUCGAAUCCUGGAGCUGACAAGUCACUUGAAGAGACUGUCAUCACUUUAGUGAAGAAAGAACUGAAGAGUUUCAAGAGGAUUCUGAGUCCAGAUCUCCCAGAAUGCUUAGAGUCAGAGAGAGGAUGCUGAAGAUGAGAAGCAGGAGAGCAGGGCCAGAGAGGAUCACACUUCACUUCCUGAGGAACAUGAAACAUAAGUCUGUUUAUUGAUGCUUUAUACACGGUUUUGUCUUUAGAUGUGCUUCUUGACAACAUAAACUCAAAUCCAACCUGAAGAAGAAGUUUCGGUGUGUGUUUGAAGGAAUAGCUGUCCUAGGAAACCCAAG